RNAcentral lists this ribosomal RNA (519 nucleotides) under uncultured eukaryote. Its description in RNAcentral is "bacterial SSU rRNA". It matches the Rfam family "Eukaryotic small subunit ribosomal RNA", at positions 1161 to 1693 of the family's 1831-position model. The record is from RNAcentral.
AGGGCACCACCAGGAGUGGAGCCUGCGGCUUAAUUUGACUCAACACGGGAAAACUCACCCGGCCCGGACACUGGAAGGAUUGACAGAUUGAGAGCUCUUUCUUGAUUCAGUGGGUGGUGGUGCAUGGCCGUUCUUAGUUGGUGGAGUGAUUUGUCUGGUUAAUUCCUAUAACGAACGAGACUCUAGCCUACUAAAUAGGUUGUCGGCUUACAUACUCCGACAAGACUUCUUAGAGGGACAAGGGACAGGCGGUCAUUCCGAAACACAAAAAUAACCAGUAACAGGUCUGUGAUGCCCUUAGGGGCCGGGGCCGCACGCACGCUACACUGAAGUGAUCAGCGUGCCUUUCUAGCGUACUCUGUCAAGAGUGCGGAACCCAAUGAACCUUCUUCGUGAUUGGGAUAGGGGAUUGUAAUUGUUCCCCUUGAACGAGGAAUUCCCAGUAAGCGCGAGUCAUAAGCUCGCGUUGAUUACGUCCCUGCCCUUUGUACACACCGCCCGUCGCUACUACCGAUUGAA